CCGCGUUCCCCGCAGGCCCUGGGACGUGGCGCGGCCUGCGCGGGCCGCUCACCCACCUUGCGCACGCGGCGGGCCGUGUAGAGCCCCAUCCCGUCCUGGACCCGGGACGACUUCAGGGCGAACCUGUCUGGUGCUUUUGUUGGGUUAUUUUAUUACAGCAACUGAAAAAGCAACUCAGAUACCAAGGGUCUGUAAGAGAUUCCUUAGAAGACACUGUCUGUCGGUUGCGGAAGAGAAUGGAAUGCUAUAUCCAGAAUGUUGAAAGAAAAGGAAGCCAUUAAAAUCCAUUAAUCCAUGGACUCAUCACAGGUGCCCUCUAGACAUGAACAAGAAAUAACAUUUUUUUUCCUCAGUCAAGAGAAUCUAAGAAAACUCACUGCCACUAGACCAAUAUUAAGGGGAUAUAUAAGUGAAUUCUAAACCUAGAUAUGAAAGGAUGGUAGUUAUCAUUGUGACAGUGUGGAAUGCACUGGUAAAGCAGACACCCAAGUGAAAAAGAAAGCACCAGUCAACAAAGACAAAGAAAGAGUAAGAAGAGGAAAGGCUAUUUGGCGACUAUUAACAUCGUGGCAAAGGCUGGCCUCAAGGACAUUUGUCCAGAGAUAACCUUGAACUUCUGAUCCUCCUGCUUCUACUUUCCAAGUGUAGAGAUUGCUGGCCUGUGCCAUACACCCGGCUUGAACUUGGGGUCUUGUGCAAAAGGGCACUCUGUUUCCCAGCUGAGAUAUAUUCGUAAACCCUCCUUUUAGCUCACUUUUGACAAUAUCCUCAAUAAAGAAUGGUUUGUCUAUCCAUUCAAGUUAUU
Molecule: long non-coding RNA, 805 nt
Filed under: Mus pahari (shrew mouse)
Lineage: Eukaryota; Metazoa; Chordata; Mammalia; Rodentia; Muridae
Description: predicted gene, 16838 (MGP_PahariEiJ_G0002937.1)
Source: RNAcentral